This 887-nucleotide ribosomal RNA is filed under the name uncultured bacterium. RNAcentral's name for it is "bacterial SSU rRNA". It matches the Rfam family "Bacterial small subunit ribosomal RNA", at positions 53 to 939 of the family's 1533-position model. The record is from RNAcentral.
ACAUGCAAGUCGAACGGUAAGCUUUGUAGCAAUAUGAAGCCUAGAGUGACGUAAGGGUGCGUAACACGUAUGCAAUCUACCCUCAACAGGAGUAUAGCUCGGGGAAACUCGGAUUAACACUCCAUAAUAUUACGAAGUGGCAUCACUUUGUGAUUAAAACUGCGGUGGUUGAGGAUGAGCAUGCGUCUGAUUAGUUAGUUGGUGAGGUAACGGCUCACCAAGACGAUGAUCAGUAGGGGAACUGAGAGGUUGAUCCCCCACACUGGCACUGAGAUACGGGCCAGACUCCUACGGGAGGCAGCAGUAGGGAAUAUUGGUCAAUGGGUGAGAGCCUGAACCAGCCAUGCCGCGUGCAGGAAGACGGCCUUCUGGGUUGUAAACUGCUUUUAUCUGGGGAUAAAAAGCCCAUGCGUGGGACAUUGAAGGUACCAGAUGAAUAAGCACCGGCUAACUACGUGCCAGCAGCCGCGGUAAUACGUAGGGUGCAAGCGUUGUCCGGAUUUAUUGGGUUUAAAGGGUGCGUAGGCGGUCUAUUAAGUCAGUGGUGAAAUCCAACAGCUCAACUGUUGAUGUGCCAAUGAUACUGAUGGACUUGAGUACAGACGAGGUAGGCGGAAUUGACAGUGUAGCGGUGAAAUGCAUAGAUAUUGUCAAGAACACCGAUAGCGAAGGCAGCUUGCUAGCCUGUAACUGACGCCGAGGCACGAAAGUAUGGGGAUCAAACAGGAUUAGAUACCCUGGUAGUCCAUACAGUAAACGAUGAUUACUCGAUGUUGGCGAUACACAGUCAGCGUCUUAGCGAAAGCGAUAAGUAAUCCACCUGGGGAGUACGCCGGCAACGGUGAAACUCAAAGGAAUUGACGGGGGUCCGCACAAGCGGUGGAGCA